Molecule: long non-coding RNA, 311 nt
Filed under: Bos taurus (domestic cattle)
Lineage: Eukaryota; Metazoa; Chordata; Mammalia; Artiodactyla; Bovidae
Description: long non-coding RNA NONBTAT017660
Source: RNAcentral
CCUGAUGCUAGCAAUUAUGAAGGGAAAUGGAUAUUCUCACAAGAGGAAGUGUAAGGUAUCUGGAGAGUAUCUGAGAGUCUGUGACAAAAGCUAGAAAACCAUGCAUGCUCAGUGCCCAGGCUGUGCCACCCUAGAAAACAGAUAUGGAUAUACAUAUAUUUCUACCAAUACAUAUUUACAUAUUUUCACAAAACUUAAGAGAUGCUCAUACUAGCACAACUGAAAACAGUUAAAACGCUGUUUACAACUUAAGAAACCGGCUCAAUGUCUUAUAGCAUACGCACAAUAGGAUAAAGUACUGCAACUGUUCA